Molecule: transfer RNA, 73 nt
Filed under: Porolithon onkodes
Lineage: Eukaryota; Rhodophyta; Florideophyceae; Corallinales; Porolithaceae
Description: tRNA-Val
Rfam family: tRNA
About the family: Transfer RNA (tRNA) molecules are approximately 80 nucleotides in length. Their secondary structure includes four short double-helical elements and three loops (D, anti-codon, and T loops).
Source: RNAcentral
AGGUAAUUAACUCAACUGGUAGAGUGUUUCGUUUACAUUGAAAAAGCUAAAGGUUCGAAUCCUUUAUUGCCUA